GGCCUCGUAGCUUAGUGGUAUAAAACGCCUGCCUAGUAAGCAGGAGAUCCUGGGUUCGAGUUCCGGCGAGGCCU
This is a non-coding RNA of Gracilinanus agilis (Agile Gracile Mouse Opossum), 74 nucleotides long. The record is from the annotation of a RefSeq genome assembly. Lineage: Eukaryota; Metazoa; Chordata; Mammalia; Didelphimorphia; Didelphidae.